This 84-nucleotide ribosomal RNA is filed under the name uncultured bacterium. Its description in RNAcentral is "partial 16S ribosomal RNA". The record is from RNAcentral.
CUGUCAGGAGGGAAGAACCGCCAGGAGUCUAAUAAACUCUUGGCCUGACGGUACCUCCAGAGGAAGCGCCGGCUAACUCCGUGC